Long non-coding RNA from Salvia miltiorrhiza (redroot sage), 614 nucleotides. RefSeq lists it as uncharacterized. NCBI's taxonomy places the organism in Eukaryota, Viridiplantae, Streptophyta, Magnoliopsida, Lamiales, Lamiaceae. The record is from RefSeq and is a predicted model, not a curated record. The transcript has 3 exons.
AUCAAUAAUUCUCCUCUACAUUUUUUUUCCUUUCUUUUUCUUCUCUUUUUCUUUCCAUUAAUUUUGUUCCCCACUCCAUCAACUCCACUACCCUAUGCUCCCCACCAUCUCCACUACCUUUGCUCCCCAUCAACUCCAACACUUCACCCAUUCCUUCCAUUUCGCACCAGCAAUCACAAAGAGAAGGAAGACUUGGCUUAACUACUUUGCCAAGAUUUCAAGCUGCUCCAGUCCAGUAGUACCCCAACACUCGAAGCUAGAGUUUAUUGGGUGAAAAACCGUGCAUGAGGUCGAGCGCAAGAAUAAGAGCUCGUCAAGGAGUCACUAAUCUGUAGCAAAGCUUUGCUAUCAGGUUGAGCAGCUGCCGAUGGUGAUGAAGUGACGAGCGGGACUCUUUUGUCUUAUUAUGUAUUAAUGAACUCUAGGGUUACAUGUCUUCAUACAUGUAAUCAGAACCUUAUUCCGCUGCGUACUCAGAAGUUUUAUGUUAUUUUGGAUAAGUCGGAGUUAUCCGAACUUGUUAGUUAUUUGAGUCUAUACGACAAAAACUCUGUUAUAUUAUAGAUAUCUAUGUUGUUAACAAUGAUGAAAUACGAUCCUUUCUUGUUUGAUUA